RNAcentral lists this ribosomal RNA (207 nucleotides) under uncultured bacterium. RNAcentral's name for it is "partial 16S ribosomal RNA". It matches the Rfam family "Bacterial small subunit ribosomal RNA", at positions 568 to 774 of the family's 1533-position model. The record is from RNAcentral.
CGCGUAGGCGGCUUUAUAAGUCUGGAGUGAAAGUCCUCUUUUCAAGGGAGGAAUUGCUUUGGAAACUAUAGAGCUUGAGUGCAGGAGAGGUUAUCGGAAUUCCCGGUGUAGCGGUGAAAUGCGUAGAUAUCGGGAGGAACAUCGGUGGCGAAGGCGGGUAGCUGGACUGCAACUGACGCUGAGGCGCGAAAGUGUGGGGAGCAAACA